RNAcentral lists this long non-coding RNA (470 nucleotides) under Equus caballus (horse). RNAcentral describes it as "lncRNA (ENSECAG00000048195.1)". Lineage: Eukaryota; Metazoa; Chordata; Mammalia; Perissodactyla; Equidae. The record is from RNAcentral.
UGCCCUGCCGCCGCGCCUGCCGCAGGGGCGGGGGGACAGGCCGGCGACAGGAGGCGGGGCGCGCACGGACGAGGUGCCCGGGGCGGAGGUGGGGGCCGAGGGCCAGAGCGCGGGGCAGCCGGCGGGGCAGGGCUGCAGGGACAGUAGGGGAGGCUCGGGGUAGAGUCUGGAGGAGAGUUGCAGAGACACUCAAGUCCAGGGGGAAGGAGAAGUCGGCGCCGGCCUUAGGAAAGGCUGAGAAACGGGAACGGAGAGACCGGGAGCGGGGGACGGGAGGGCUGAGAAAACGGGAGGAGAACAAGUGGAGAAGGACACAGAGACGAGGAGCCAGAGCCUUCACGGGAGGCAGACGGAAGUGCACAAGCAGUAUUUCAGACCAUGAGGAAACCUUAGGAAUGAAAGCUGCCUGCUGCAGAGCAAGCAGACCGAGAGCGCCUGGGCUCCCGGCACCGUGGAACACUGCCACCCGG